This 1354-nucleotide long non-coding RNA is filed under the name Zalophus californianus (California sea lion). Its description in RNAcentral is "lncRNA (ENSZCAG00015009013.1)". The record is from RNAcentral. Lineage: Eukaryota; Metazoa; Chordata; Mammalia; Carnivora; Otariidae.
CCACAAAGUGCUAAAGUCAGUUGUGAAUUUUAUUAAAAAUAAGCACUAUGCCUGGGUUUCAUAAAAUUUAUACAUGAAUAUGUACAGACACAAAUAAAAUAAUAUUAAAAAUAAAAAUCACGCUUGCUUUCACGUGGCAGUGGUCCUGGCACCCCACAUACAUAAUGCUAACUUUUCCUUUAAAGAAAUUGCUUGGCCCAAGGAGACCACAGUUAGAGAUCACCGAACCACUAAUAAAGCUGUAGCCCGUUGCCUGCAACAUUUUCAACUCAGGUCUCAAAAAUAUAUAAAUAAUUUAAUUACAAAACCCAACUUUUUUUUUUUUUUAUCUUUUGGCACAGUGAAGCAUUGGUCAAUAGCAGAGAAAUGACUGAAGAUUCUCUGACACCUCUCUCACACUCAGUCAUGCCUGUAAAUGCCACAUACUUACAUGGAGCGAGGGCCAUUAAACCCGGAACAGUAGUCAUAUCAUUUAUCAUAUGGAAUGUUUCCCUGAUUUUUUUUUAAGGGACAAGUCAAUGGAGGGUGCGACAAAAAUAGGAGUAAGGGGGAGUAAGAAGAUAGGCAAAGUCUUUGUGAAGUGAGGGAGGGACAGGCUUGGUCAAGAACCUAAAGCAAUUAUGGAGAAUUGGUUUGGUCUUCUGUAAAGUCACAAAAGAAAAACGAAAAUAUUCUGAAUUAAAUUAAAACACUCUGUCAAAAAUACUUUAGCUUUAAGGCACGUUUGAUGGAGAUUUUUUUUUAACGUCUUUUUUUGUCUGGCUAGAAAAUGCAAAGCCCUGGCCUGCGUUUCCUGCCUCCCCGACGGCGCCCACCCUUGCCUGGCUCCGCGGCGCUGCUCAGGCCAGGAGCGUCUCCACUGGGUAAGGCAGGUGCGGGCCGGGGCCACAGGACGAGGACGCCUGCAGGGCCGCGGGCAGCCGCAGGGGGCAGUACAGGUGCGAGCCGCCGCCGGCCGCCGGGCCUCGAAAUGGCUUGGUUGGGGCCGAGGCGGAGAGGGGCGCGAGCAGGAGAUUCUGAACACUUGGGAAGAAUCCUGCAGAGAUUCAAGGUGGGCGUGAGAGGAUGGAUAAAACCUAGGUCCUUAGCCUUGCUAACCAUUUGUCUGAAGCCACGACUUACUGGACAGAAGGACCAUGUAGCCACUGAGGCUUGAAGAAGCUGGCGGUGGAGGCUGAACAAUAUACCUGUAUUUUUAUUUCUGUGAAACUAUUCUUGUCCUCCCUUCUCUUUCCUUGAAAAACACAUAUAUGCUCAUCCACUCCCUCCCUGCCCUGCCACACACAGUAGAGAAAAGGAGGGAUAGCUGCUCAAAUUGUUUGAGCUUAAUUCAACAGAAUUAAAUUAAUUCUAC